This 376-nucleotide ribosomal RNA is filed under the name Bombus morio. Its description in RNAcentral is "partial 16S ribosomal RNA". The stretch from base 247 to 376 matches the Rfam family "Archaeal large subunit ribosomal RNA", at positions 2542 to 2672 of the family's 2987-position model. Lineage: Eukaryota; Metazoa; Arthropoda; Insecta; Hymenoptera; Apidae. The record is from RNAcentral.
GAGAUAUAUACUGUCUCAUAUAUAUAAAAUGAAUUUAAAUUUUUAGUAAAAAUGCUUAAAUAAUUUUAUGGGACGAUAAGACCCUAUAGAAUUUUAUAUUAAAAUUUUAUUAAUUAUUUAGUUAAAAUUUUAAUAUUUAGUUGGGAGGAUUAGUAAAUAAAAUUAACUUUAUUUUAAAAAUAAACUUUGAUUUAAGAAUAAAAUUUUGAUCUUAUACUAUAAAUUAAAAGAAUAAAUUACCUUAGGGAUAACAGCGUAAUAUCUUUUUAAAGAUCAUAUUAAUAAAGAUGUUUGCGACCUCGAUGUUGAAUUAAGAUAAAUUUUAAAUGAAGAAAUUUAAAAAUUAAGUCUGUUCGACUUUUAAAAUCUUACAUGA